RNAcentral lists this ribosomal RNA (697 nucleotides) under uncultured bacterium. RNAcentral's name for it is "bacterial SSU rRNA". It matches the Rfam family "Bacterial small subunit ribosomal RNA", at positions 111 to 823 of the family's 1533-position model. The record is from RNAcentral.
UAACGCGUGGGUAACCUGCCUUACACAGGGGGAUAACACUUAGAAAUAGGUGCUAAUACCGCAUAAGCGCACAGUCCCGCAUGGGACAGAGUGAAAAACAUUAGUGGUGUAAGAUGGACCCGCGUCUGAUUAGCUUGUUGGCGGGGUAACGGCCCACCAAGGCGACGAUCAGUAGCCGGCCUGAGAGGGUGGACGGCCACAUUGGGACUGAGACACGGCCCAAACUCCUACGGGAGGCAGCAGUGGGGGAUAUUGGACAAUGGGGGAAACCCUGAUCCAGCGACGCCGCGUGAGUGAAGAAGUAUUUCGGUAUGUAAAGCUCUAUCAGCAGGGAAGAAAGAAAUGACGGUACCUGAGUAAGAAGCCCCGGCUAACUACGUGCCAGCAGCCGCGGUAAUACGUAGGGGGCAAGCGUUAUCCGGAAUUACUGGGUGUAAAGGGAGCGUAGACGGUAAUGCAAGUCUGGAGUGAAAGGCGGGGGCCCAACCCCCGGACUGCUCUGGAAACUGUGUAACUGGAGUGCAGGAGAGGCAGGCGGAAUUCCUAGUGUAGCGGUGAAAUGCGUAGAUAUUAGGAGGAACACCAGUGGCGAAGGCGGCCUGCUGGACUGUAACUGACGUUGAGGCUCGAAAGCGUGGGGAGCAAACAGGAUUAGAUACCCUGGUAGUCCACGCCGUAAACGAUGAUUACUAGGUGU